Molecule: ribosomal RNA, 425 nt
Filed under: uncultured bacterium
Lineage: Bacteria
Description: bacterial SSU rRNA
Rfam family: Bacterial small subunit ribosomal RNA
Source: RNAcentral
GUGGGGAAUAUUGGACAAUGGGCGCAAGCCUGAUCCAGCCAUGCCGCGUGAGUGAUGAAGGCCUUCGGGUUGUAAAGCUCUUUAGCCGAUGAUUAUAAUGACUGUAGUCGGAAAAUAAGCCCCGGCUAACUUCGUGCCAGCAGCCGCGGUAAUACGAAGGGGGCGAGCGUUAUUCGGAAUCACUGGGCGUAAAGCGUGCGUAGGCGGCUUUGCAAGUUGGGAGUGAAAGCCCAGGGCUCAACCCUGGAAUUGCUCUCAAAACUGCAAGGCUCGAAUUCGGGAGAGGAUAGCGGAAUUGUCAGUGUAGCAGUGAAAUGCGUAGAUAUUGACAGGAACACCAGUGGCGUAAGCGGCUAUCUGGACCGAUAUUGACGCUGAGGCACGAAAGCGUGGGGAUCAAACAGGAUUAGAUACCCUAGUAGUCC